CCCUUCUUUUUUGGGGGGGAUAAUGUGGAAUUAAAACGACAAGGAAAGAAUAAACGAAUAGAAACCAACAACGUCGACAAUGGGAUUUGUGAUUUUGUGUCAAUCGGGAGGGCUUCAGAGCAACGCCGCCACUUCAUCACCUCAGGAAGAGAAGAGCCCGGUUCCUUUUGUGAUUUCUACUCAAAAGGGCUUUUCUUUCCUCCCUUUGGACGCGUGUUCAGUCUGGCUGCUUCGGGAGUCCGCUGUGGAAAAGGACAGUUGAAUGCAGCCUCCGCCGUGCACAAAAGAAUGGGUUUCCAUUCAAGGUGGCCAUUGGUGGGACCUGCACCAACGGCACUGUGCCUGUGUGUGUUCAGCAUGCUGCUGUGCCUGCCGUCUCCUGCGUCAUGCACAACCUGCCCCCAGAAAUGCCGUUGCGAAGACCAGCAGUUCUACUGCGACACCCAAGGACUGGAGGCGCCCCCGGACGGCGUUGACAGGGGGGCCCUGGGGUUGUCGCUCCGCCACAACAGCGUCGCUGAACUGAGCCCGGACCAGUUCUAUGGCUUCUCCCAGCUCACCUGGCUCCACCUGGACCACAACCAGAUCACCACGGUGCGGGAGGACGCCUUCCAGGGGCUCUAUAAACUCAAAGAUCUCAACCUGAGCUCCAACCGGAUCACAAAGCUGCCAAACACAACCUUCAUCCACCUCAUCAACCUACAGAUCUUAGAUCUGUCCUUCAACCUGAUGACUGCGCUGGAGCCUGAGCUGUUCCAUGGCCUCCGCAAGCUGCAGAUCCUCCACCUGCGCUCCAACUCGCUGCGCACCACCCCCGUCCGGGCCUUCUGGGACUGCCGCAGCCUUGAGUACCUGGGUCUGUCCAACAACCGGCUGCGAAGCCUGGCCCGGAACGGCUUCGCAGGCCUCAUUAAACUCAGAGAACUCCACUUGGAACACAACCAGCUGACUAAGAUCAACCUGGCUCAUUUCCCCCGCCUGGUGGCUCUGCAGUUCCUUUAUCUGCAGUGGAACAAGAUCUCCAACCUGACCUGCGGUAUGGAGUGGACCUGGACCACGCUGGAGAAGAUGGACCUAACGGGGAACGAGAUCCGGGUGCUGACCCCGGACGUGUUCGAGACGCUGCCUAACCUGAAGAUCCUCCUAUUGGAUAACAACAAGCUAGGCAGCCUGGACCCUCUGGUCUUGGAUAUGUGGCGGUCUCUAGGUACCGUGGGGCUGUCCAGCAACCUUUGGGAAUGUACCAAAGGGAUCUGCUCCCUGGCCACUUGGCUUAGCACCUUCAAGGGGAGGUGGGAACACUCCAUCCUGUGUCACACCCCCGAGUACGCCCAGGGCGAGGAGAUACUGGAUGCCGUUUAUGGAUUCCAGCUUUGUCUGAAUUUUACAGUGCCGCCACCUGUCGUCUUGACCACAACCACUUUGUCAAUGGUCACGGACUCGCCGACAGGCACGACGGCGGAGGUCACCAGCUCUCUGUUCGGAGUAAUGAAGCAGACACCCACACAGGGUUACUAUGGGGAUUUGGGGCGCUUUACGACCGUAACGACAACGACCGCCGCGCCGCGCACCGCCCUGGCAACCACGGUGGAGGGCGGGGGUGGAGCGGUGGGAGUCCCCGAGGACUUCUCGGAGACGGACAACACAGUCCUGACCCAGAGGGUGAUCAUUGGAACCAUGGUCCUUCUGUUUACCUUCUUCCUCAUCAUUUUCGUUGUGUUCAUCUCACGGAAGUGCUGCCCUCCUACCAUGCGCAGGAUACGCCAGUGCUCGGCCAUGCAGAACCGCCGCCAGAUGAGGACCCAGCAGCGGCAGCAAAUGGCGGACCUGGCCACGCAGGUACCCUAUAACGAGUACGAGCCCAGCCACGAGGAGGGAGCGCUGGUUAUCAUCAACGGCUACGGGCAGUGCAAGUGUCAACAGCUGCCUUACAAAGAGUGUGAAGUGUAAACUGUGUAUAUCCCCCUGCAGCAGCAGCAUAUGGGCUGUUGACCAAACAAUACAGGGUUUGUUUUUUUGCUUCCCCCCCCCUCCCAGUUUAUACAACAACAAAAGACUUUCUACUCGUUAGCUCUGAGAAAUCAAUGUGAUUAGUACAUUGGGAGAGUUGAUGCCUGGUGGGUGGGUGGAAUGGACGAUGAAGAGACUGAUGAUGAGGAUGUAGUAGGAAUAGUCACCAUUUAUUUUUAUAUGAAUGCAAGAUUGUUCAUAUCAGAUAGCUGUGGGCAAUCAGUCUCCACACAGGAAAAAGAGAAAAAAAAAACCCUGGUAGACGGAUGUGUCACCAGGUGGGGGGGGGGGGGGGCUAUCAGUCACUAUGUUCACCAGAGAGAAGAAGAAGACAUCUACUACGAGACGGAAACCAAUCCGAGCUGACUUCAGUCUCAAUGUCAUUCAGAUAACAACAGAAGCCUCGUCUCUAAAUGGCCCGCGGACGGACAGGAUGGAUAAGAGAGACAGUGAAUCGUAGUAUAUUUUUCAGAGGAAGGAAGGAAAGAAGUGUUGGCAUACAUUUGACAUCACUGAAAGAUCACAGCUUGUUAAAUGGUGAGCGAAAUUAAGCCACAAUUUGUAGAAAUGUGCAUCCAUUUGCACAUUCGAACUGUCAAAUAAAACAUGUUUCGGUUGUUUUCUUGUCAUACUCUGAAGCUCUCACUCCCCCCUAGCACCUUCAUCUCUCA
Oncorhynchus masou masou (cherry salmon) is the source of this 2681-nucleotide RNA transcript. It is a transcript of the gene named leucine-rich repeat transmembrane neuronal protein 2-like, with no coding region annotated. NCBI's taxonomy places the organism in Eukaryota, Metazoa, Chordata, Actinopteri, Salmoniformes, Salmonidae. The record is from RefSeq and is a predicted model, not a curated record. The transcript is spliced from 3 exons.